UACGUAAGGACGUCAAGGCGCGCGGUGGCGUGCACGGUAGUAUUUGUGGCUGGUGACUCGGGUUCUCAGUCCUUGUGUUCCCCUCGUGGGUCCUUUCAGCAUCCGCUACCAUCGAAGACUCCAGGCGGGUUAGGAGGGAGUCAUGGGGCCGGCCGGGCCCUCCCCACGCGUGCUGCUCCCUCGUGAGGACACUGGAGAAGACUAGUGCGCUGCGGGGCGACUUGGGCCUUGCUUCUGAGAGUCUUCGCUCAGAAGAGAAACAGGGUUUCUUCUGCGCGACCUGAAGGGCACCGCUAAGCGGAAUGGAACCUGUGACCUCUAGGGAUCCCAUUAGGGAUGGAGCCUAUGAUCUCCAAGCCCACCUCUGGGUUGGGAUCUAUGACCUCGUAGAGACCUGCUACAAAAGGCGGGAGACGUGAUCAGAUGAACGAUCCCACAAAGUGGGAGGGCUUACAGUCACAACAGCUCUUAAGGAAGAUGUCCUGGAGUGAUCCCAGAGUGCUCGAGCUAGAAUCCUUUCUGUGGCUACUAGGCUAGUCUGUGGCACCUGUGUAGUAUUGCAUGGAUACUGAGAAGUAAUGACACCUCGUGAGAAAUGGAGCAGAAUUUGUACCUUAAUUGAGCAGAUAUGAAUCCUCGCUUCUAAAAGGAAUCAGCAGUAUCUUGUUCUUGGUCUGGGUUGUGUGUCUGAGGGAACUUUCUCUGACCCCAAGUUUGGGCUUUUUUUUUUCUUUUCUUUUUUUUCUCUUUUUUUUUU
This is a long non-coding RNA of Sciurus carolinensis (gray squirrel), 757 nucleotides long. RefSeq lists it as uncharacterized. Lineage: Eukaryota; Metazoa; Chordata; Mammalia; Rodentia; Sciuridae. The record is from RefSeq and is a predicted model, not a curated record. The transcript has 4 exons.